UAAUUAUGGAUUGGCUUAAUUUUUGAUGUGAUUACAUGUAAGUUUUUGCUUGAUUUUUAAUUUUACUUAAUGUUGAAUUAUUUUAUUUAUAUAUUCGCAGUUUUUAUUAUUAUUUUUUAACUUUAAGUUAGAAUUAGAUAAUUUAUUAAAGGGUUGUUUAUUAUUGUGCCAGCAGACGCGGUUAUACAAUUAACUCUAGUUAAUCUUUUCUAUUUUUAUUUAUCUUUUAUUAUUUGUGGAUUUUAUUUAUUUAUUUAUUAGGUGAAAUUUUAAUUAUUUAUUAUUGUCUGGGUAUAUUAGGAUAAAUAUGAAAAUCAUUUUGUAGACUAGGAUUAGAUACCCUAUUAUUUUGAUUGUAUAUUUAUGAAUAUGUUAUUAAUAGUUAUGGUCUUUAAAUUAAAAGGAUUUGGCGGUAAUUUAAUCUUUUCAGAGGAACCUGUUCUUUAAUCGAUAAUCCACGUUGAAUUUUACUUUAAUUUUUGUUUAUAUAUCUCUGUCAUUGAAUGUUUUUUAAGGAUUUAUUUUCUUUUAUUUUUUAUUUAAUUAAUGUCAGGUCAAGGUGUAACUAUAUUAAAGGUUGAAAUGGGUUACAUUUAAUUUUAUUUAUUGGGUUUUAAUUAUUGUAAUAUUUAAAACAAAUAGGAUUUGAAAGUAAAUUAUAUUUAUUUUUUAUGGUUGAUUUGGGCUCUAAAUUAUGUACACAUCGCCCGUCACUCUCGUUAAUUUUUAAAAUGAGAUAAGUCGUAACAAAGUAAUUCUACUGGAAAGUGGAGUUUGAAUUAA
RNAcentral lists this non-coding RNA (783 nucleotides) under Parathyginus sp. The record is from RNAcentral. Lineage: Eukaryota; Metazoa; Arthropoda; Insecta; Hemiptera; Heterogastridae.